AGAGUUUGAUCCUGGCUCAGAUUGAACGCUGGCGGCAUGCCUUACACAUGCAAGUCGAACGGCAGCACGGGAGUAAUCCUGGUGGCGAGUGGCGAACGGGUGAGUAAUACAUCGGAACGUGUCCUGUAGUGGGGGAUAGCCCGGCGAAAGCCGGAUUAAUACCGCAUACGCUCUACGGAGGAAAGGGGGGGGAUCUUAGGACCUCUCGCUACAGGGGCGGCCGAUGGCAGAUUAGCUAGUUGGUGGGGUAAAGGCCUACCAAGGCGACGAUCUGUAGCUGGUCUGAGAGGACGACCAGCCACACUGGGACUGAGACACGGCCCAGACUCCUACGGGAGGCAGCAGUGGGGAAUUUUGGACAAUGGGGGAAACCUGAUCCAGCAAUGCCGCGUGUGUGAAGAAGGCCUUCGGGUUGUACAGCACUUUUGUCCGGAAAG
RNAcentral lists this ribosomal RNA (437 nucleotides) under uncultured bacterium. Its description in RNAcentral is "bacterial SSU rRNA". It matches the Rfam family "Bacterial small subunit ribosomal RNA", at positions 8 to 447 of the family's 1533-position model. The record is from RNAcentral.